CUACGUGCCAGCAGCCGCGGUAAUACGUAGGGUGCGAGCGUUAAUCGGAAUUACUGGGCAUAAAGCGUGCGCAGGCGGUUUGUUAAGACCGAUGUGAAAUCCCCGGGCUCAACCUGGGAACUGCAUUGGUGACUGGCAAGCUAGAGUAUGGCAGAGGGGGGUAGAAUUCCACGUGUAGCAGUGAAAUGCGUAGAGAUGUGGAGGAAUACCGAUGGCGAAGGCAGCCCCCUGGGCCAAUACUGACGCUCAUGCACGAAAGCGUGGGGAGCAAACAGGAUUAGAUACCCUGGUAGUCCACGCCCUAAACGAUGUCAACUAGUUGUUGGGGAUUCAUUUCCUUAGUAACGUAGCUAACGCGUGAAGUUGACCGCCAGGGGAGUACGGUCGCAAGAUUAAAACUCAAAGGAAUUGACGGGGACCCGCACAAGCGGUGGAUGAUGUGGAUUAAUUCGAUGCAACGCGAAAAACCUUACCUACCCUUGACA
Molecule: ribosomal RNA, 485 nt
Filed under: uncultured bacterium
Lineage: Bacteria
Description: bacterial SSU rRNA
Rfam family: Bacterial small subunit ribosomal RNA
Source: RNAcentral